Molecule: ribosomal RNA, 433 nt
Filed under: uncultured bacterium
Lineage: Bacteria
Description: partial 16S ribosomal RNA
Rfam family: Bacterial small subunit ribosomal RNA
Source: RNAcentral
AACGAACGCUGGCGGCAUGCCUAACACAUGCAAGUCGAACGAGACCUUCGGGUCUAGUGGCGCACGGGUGCGUAACGCGUGGGAACCUGCCCUUAGGUUCGGAAUAACUCCCCGAAAGGGGUGCUAAUACCGGAUAAUGUCUUCGGACCAAAGAUUUAUCGCCUUUGGAUGGGCCCGCGUUGGAUUAGCUAGUUGGUAGGGUAAAAGCCUACCAAGGCGACGAUCCAUAGCUGGUCUGAGAGGAUGAUCAGCCACACUGGGACUGAGACACGGCCCAGACUCCUAAGGGAGGGAGGAGUGGGGAAUAUUGGACAAUGGGCGGAAGGCUGAUCCAGCAAUGGCGGGUGAGUGAUGAAGGGCUUAGGGUUGUAAAGCUCUUUUACCCGGGAUGAUAAUGACAGUACCGGGAGAAUAAGCUCCGGCUAACUCCGUG